GUCCAGGUUAGCGUAGUGGACAUGAUACCUGCCCGGCAAGCAGAAGGUUGUGGGUUCGAUUCCCGCCCCUGGACA
RNAcentral lists this transfer RNA (75 nucleotides) under Cordylochernes scorpioides. RNAcentral's name for it is "tRNA-Ala". It matches the Rfam family "tRNA". From Rfam's summary of the family: Transfer RNA (tRNA) molecules are approximately 80 nucleotides in length. Their secondary structure includes four short double-helical elements and three loops (D, anti-codon, and T loops). Lineage: Eukaryota; Metazoa; Arthropoda; Arachnida; Pseudoscorpiones; Chernetidae. The record is from RNAcentral.